This 1146-nucleotide long non-coding RNA is filed under the name Solanum tuberosum (potato). RNAcentral describes it as "long non-coding RNA (STUB_LNC006903)". Lineage: Eukaryota; Viridiplantae; Streptophyta; Magnoliopsida; Solanales; Solanaceae. The record is from RNAcentral.
UUCUCACUAUAUCCUAAAAGAAACUGAGGAUCACUCAGGCACUCAAACUCCACUGAAGUCAACGAUUGAUGCAACAUUAACAAACACAAACUCCACUGAAGUCAACGAUUGAUGCAACAUUAACAAACACAAACUCCACUGAAGUCAACGAUUGAUGCAACAUUAACAAACACAAACUCCACUGAAGUCAACGAUUGAUGCAACAUUAACAAACACAAACUCCACUGAAGUCAACGAUUGAUGCAACAUUAACAAACACAAACUCCACUGAAGUCAACGAUUGAUGCAACAUUAACAAACACAAACUCCACUGAAGUCAACGAUUGAUGCAACAUUAACAAACACAAACUCCACUGAAGUCAACGAUUGAUGCAACAUUAACAAACACAAACUCCACUGAAGUCAACGAUUGAUGCAACAUUAACAAACACAAACUCCACUGAAGUCAACGAUUGAUGCAACAUUAACAAACACAAACUCCACUGAAGUCAACGAUUGAUGCAACAUUAACAAACACAAACUCCACUGAAGUCAACGAUUGAUGCAACAUUAACAAACACAAACUCCACUGAAGUCAACGAUUGAUGCAACAUUAACAAACACAAACUCCACUGAAGUCAACGAUUGAUGCAACAUUAACAAACACAAACUCCACUGAAGUCAACGAUUGAUGCAACAUUAACAAACACAAACUCCACUGAAGUCAACGAUUGAUGCAACAUUAACAAACACAAACUCCACUGAAGUCAACGAUUGAUGCAACAUUAACAAACACAAACUCCACUGAAGUCAACGAUUGAUGCAACAUUAACAAACACAAACUCCACUGAAGUCAACGAUUGAUGCAACAUUAACAAACACAAACUCCACUGAAGUCAACGAUUGAUGCAACAUUAACAAACACAAACUCCACUGAAGUCAACGAUUGAUGCAACAUUAACAAGAGGCCAUCUGAACAAACAGAGGAAGAAAUUUGGAAUAUUUUGAAUUACAGUUUGGAAUACAUCAAAAUAUGCAAGUUUCAUGUUGAGCACAUACUACCACACCUCAAAGCAAGUGUACUACUCCCUCUGUCCCAAUUAAUGUGGUACCACUUUCAUUUUUAGUCCAUCCCAAAAAGAAUGUAAUAUUUCUAUAAUAAUAGAG